CUAUGCAACAUAGUGAGACCCUGUCUCAGAAAGGGAGGGGGGGAGACAGAGAGAGAGAGAGAUCAUGUUCGCAAUUCAUCCACUCAGUGUUCACUGAUGCCUCUCCAUCCUCCACUGUCCUCCCCCCCAUUACCUGCAUGCAGGAAGAUUAUGUGACCUUGGGAAUGUCCAGAUGUCACAAUGGACAGUUACUCAACAGUUACUAAGCAUUGGCACAUGCCAGGUAGGGGCUAGGCCGUGGGGCUCCAGUGUGGAGACUCACCACGGAGAUGGCCACGUGCACAGUCACAGAACAGACGCCUGCUGCGCGCUGACAGCUCCUCUCCUGGGUCUCCACCGCCGGCGGCUGCUUCCUUCUGGGGUCCCGCCCGCAGCCCGAGCGCUGCCCCCACCGAGCAACUGCGGCAGGUGCGGAUCUCCCCGGCCCACACCAGGAGUUAGAGAAUAAAACCCCAGCACAAUGUUCCCACUGGGAGACGCCAGCCCGGCUGAAGACAGCACUGAGGCAGUGUCGCCCCAAUGCUCGCUGCCAGAAUUAUAUGAAUUAGUGAAGAAUUUCAGUAAGAAGAGCAAGAAAUCAAAUCUCCUAAAAACAUGUGGUAUUACACUUGAUGAAGCACAGAAAAUGCUUACUGAAAACCUGAACACCGCGGCCUUUGCCAGGGGCGCUGUCACGGUAAGAGAAGAUCCCCAGCGUGUUUUCACGAGCAAGACGGUGAAAAAGGAGGAGGAGAAGCAGGUGGAGGCCAUGGCGGCGCUCCUGCACCGCACCCUGCUGGCGGGCUCGCAGUCGCCAGAGGAGCAAGGGCUCGCCCGGUCCCGGCAGAGGCUGUGGCAGUGCGGAAUCCCCGCGCCUGCGCACACCUUUCCUCGCGAGAUUCUUGAGGAGCACGCGAAGGCUAUGACCCGGUUGGCCAACCUGAGGAAGCUUCAGAGCACCAGAGUUUUAUGCAGGCUAGGCAUUCCCAAGGUCACCCCGGAAAAGUCCACCUUUGAAGACAAAAUUCCUAAAUACCUCCUAGUUGACUCAGGUAGUGGGAGAGACAGAAGGAACAGAUUUAAAGGAACAGGUUGACUACUCUGAGCACAUUUGGUCCAAAGAACCGAAAGAGCCUUUGGUGUAACUCCUGACAUUGACAUCUUGAUAGCGCUUACUGCAGAAAAACAAUUCUUGGAUCUAAAGGAUCUGGAAUGGAGAUACUUUAAAGGUCUUGCAAAGUGGAAGCACACUAGGAGGCCUUCGUUGCUAGACAUAAAAUACGACACUGAGAAGAGAUUUGUAGAGAGCCAGAAUACGCCUGGGAUCAUUUUCCCCCCUGUAAUUCGUAAAUCAUUGGUUGUUUAUCCUAAAAUUAUUUGUCAAAAAGAAGGAACUAGUUCUCUUAAAUGAGAUAUGUAGUUUAUUAAAAUAUUUUACAUGUAUAUUUUUGCUUUUGAGAGCAUUCAAUCUACACAUAAAAA
Non-coding RNA from Microcebus murinus (gray mouse lemur), 1461 nucleotides. NCBI's taxonomy places the organism in Eukaryota, Metazoa, Chordata, Mammalia, Primates, Cheirogaleidae. The record is from RefSeq and is a predicted model, not a curated record.